CCUCGGGUGGCAGCAGUGGGGGAUACUGCACAAUGGGGGAAACCCUGAUGCAGCGACGCCGCGUGUGGGAAGACGGUCCUCUGGAUUGUAAACCACUGUCCCCAGGGACGAAGAUGACGGUACCUGGGGAGGAAGCUCCGGCUAACUACGUGCCAGUAGCCGCGGUAAUACGUAGGGAGCGAGCGUUGUCCGGAAUUACUGGGUGUAAAGGGAGUGUAGGCGGGGAUGCAAGUUGGGUGUCAAAACUACCGGCUAAACUGGUAGUCGCACUCAAAACUGCAGCUCUUGAGUGAAGUAGAGGCAGGGGGAAUUCCUAGUGUAGCGGUGAAAUGCGGAGAUAUUAGGAGGAACACCAGGGGUGAAGGCGGCCUGCUGGGCUUUUACUGACGCUGAGGCUCGAAAGUGUGGGGAGCAAACAGGAUUAGAUACCCGGGUAGUC
RNAcentral lists this ribosomal RNA (439 nucleotides) under uncultured bacterium. RNAcentral's name for it is "partial 16S ribosomal RNA". It matches the Rfam family "Bacterial small subunit ribosomal RNA", at positions 339 to 795 of the family's 1533-position model. The record is from RNAcentral.